This 468-nucleotide ribosomal RNA is filed under the name uncultured bacterium. RNAcentral's name for it is "partial 16S ribosomal RNA". It matches the Rfam family "Bacterial small subunit ribosomal RNA", at positions 28 to 507 of the family's 1533-position model. The record is from RNAcentral.
GACGAACGCUGGCGGCGUGCUUAACACAUGCAAGUCGAACGGAAAGGCCCUGCUUUUGUGGGGUGCUCGAGUGGCGAACGGGUGAGUAACACGUGAGUAACCUGCCCUGGACUUUGGGAUAACUUCAGGAAACUGGGGCUAAUACCGGAGAGGAGCUCCUGCUGCAUGGUGGGGGUUGGAAAGUUUCGGCGGUUGGGGAUGGACGCGCGGCUUAUCAGCUUGUUGGGGGGGUAGUGGCUUACCAAGGCUUUGACGGGUAGCCGGCCUGGGAGGGUGACCGGCCACAUUGGGCCUGAGAUACGGACCAGAGUCCUACGGGAGGCAGCAGUGGGGAAUCUUGCACAAUGGGCGGAAGCCCGAUGCAGCAACGCUGCGUGCGGGAUGAAGGCCUUCGGGUUGUAAACCGCUUUCGCCUGUGACGAAGCGUGAGUGACGGUAAUGGGUAAAGAAGCACCGGCUAACUACGUG